UAGUAGAUAAUCAGUGAUUUCAGGUUUAGCUUCUCUGUUUUCAGUAAAGAUGCAGACUUUGUGUUCGAUGAAAUGCCCCAUAGAGUUUUGUAUAUAUAGGUUUUAUUCGUGCUUGGUUGGUGUACACAAAGUGUAAUUUCCGUGUCGAAAAGUACAGAUAUUUGAUCCCAAAUGAGUUGAUCCAUGCAUAUGUAAAAGUAACAGCUUGAUUUUACUUGGGAUUUCAUAUUUUUUGGAAAAUGUCCAUUCAGUGUUAGUUCAAAUUCAAAAUGUUGAUUCAGUGUUAGUUCAUUACUGUUACCGAAUCUGGAAUUUCGAUUUCGGUCCAAAGAUGAAGUGGUAUUUCUUCACCCGUCCCAAUUUUCCAAGCUGAAUAAAGAGGCAGUCCAUUUCUCACCCUCAUCUGAUGGCAGUACUGUGAUGCGCUCAGCUAAUGGCAACUCAGUUUUUUGGAAUGGGGAUCAUAAGUUGGGGAUUUCAACGCAAUUUUUUUUCCCGUUAUAUGAAGCUUCUAAGCAUGCGUUUAUGGCAGCAAGUAGACAAUAGAAGGCACUUAACAGCAGAUCAGAUGUAUCUGGGGAUGAGAAGUCUUUGUAUGUGUCAUUAUCUUUGGAUAAUAGUUUUGAAAGUGACGUCAUGAAGCAUAGCAGGGCGCUUUUGUUGCUAAGUAGUGAUUUCGGCACUGCAUGGCAUUCCAGGUUUUCCCCCUUUUCAUUUUCGGUUCAGUAGUGCUUUUUCCUCUCUCUUACACUUGUUCUAACAUAAUUGUUUUAAAAUAGUAGCAGAUAUGCAUGUGAAGCAACGGUCCUUUGUAGCGUCAUGUUCUUUGGUUUCCUGACAUGGAGAUUCAUCUAUCUUCCUCUAGAGUUUUUGAUGUGCAAUUAUUUACUAUAAUUAUAUAUCAAUAAUUUUGGAUCUUCUUGAUCUUGUCUGCUUUUCAAUUUAUGUCAUGACACCUACUUGGUCUAGUAUAUGUGAUGCAGGAAGCUUGUUGUGUCGCAGAAGCAUAAGCACUCAGCAUUUUUGGAUGAACUUCUCUUGUCAGCACUUGUUCUUUCAUAUUCACCUAAGUUUGAGUAUGCUUGGAGCCAUAGGCAGUGGGUCAUCAAGUCGAUUGCUGGAAAGUGUUCAACUCUGUCGGAGAUUGUGACCAAAGACUCUGAGCUGGUGGAGAAAAUAGCUGAGGUUUAAAUUCAGUUCAGGAACUGCAUGCUUUUAAUUUACAAAGAGGUCAAAAAUGAAUUACCGUGCAUGGAACCACCGUUGCUGGUUGGUUUCCUACAUGACAAGAGAACAGUUGCUACAUGAAUUAGAAAGAUCCCGAACCUGGGCCUCCUUGCAUGUUGCUGAUCAUAGUUGCUCCCAUUAUCGCAGUCGGCUGAUGCGUAAGAUUUAGAGGACGAAUGCUAUAAACAAGAGAUUUCAGCUUCUGGUUACAGUGUUGAGAUAUAUCGGCUGUGGAAGGAAGAGCUUGAUUGGGAUGAAAUGUUGAUAAAGCACUACAUAGGAAGAGAGGCUCUAUGGCUUCAUCGCCGCUUCCUUUCUUAUUUUGGAUAAAGCAUUUCAUAACUGAUCAUACUGGUCUGUCCAGCCAUGCGAAGCAGAAUAACAGCAUGAAUGACGACUUCAGAAUCUUUAUGAAUAACGAGUUACAGCUCCUCGACUCCUGCUCCAUCAUUCCAGAUAAUAGCUUCGAUGACUACCAAGCACAGGCUAAACAUUCGGCUACUUACAUAUUAUGGUUGAUUAUGCAAAUCCCUGAUUCCCGACGCAUUGAAUUUCAAGAUAAGCUGAAAACUGAAAACCUGAAAGCUCUGUUGAAUAAAGCGUGCCUGGAAAGGUCCUCAACAUGGGAUUCUUUAGUGAGCUAUUUGUCCUGCAACUUUUCCUUUCAGUUCGAUUGAACAAUUAGUUAGCAACAUGCUGUCGUGCUUUGUCUAUCCUUUGGUAUGAAGCUGAAAAUUGCAGUGUCUUUAUCCCUUUGAUUCACCCACUAAAUCAAUUGAAACGAACUACAAUUUGAUGAUUGAAUGCAUGGAAAAUGCAGUGGAGAGCCUUUUCUCGCUCUCAAAUCUAGCGAAUUGCGCUGGACCACCAGUCCCUCCGCACCACCAACGUUCCUCCGCUUUGCUAAAGAUUGAAUCCCCGUUGACCUGAAUUGGAGUGGCCUAUGCCAGCCUGGAGAUUGUUUCUUUGCUCAUUAGAGGCUGGCCAUUAUUGACCCUGCUUCUGGUGAUCAACCUCUCUGCAGUGGAGAAAUCAAUUUGUUGUCGCUGUAGGGUCGCGUCAUAUAUUUUUUAAUUUUGUGUGGUUUAAUUUAUUGAAUAUUUGAAAAUAAUUGAUAAAUUUUCAAUUUUUGAUUACUGAUACGAUGCGUAUGUUGAUUGGUGAUUUUGUUGGAUUCACUCAACUCAAAUAUAUGGUAACUGAAUUGCUACAUUUGAGAAUGUGAUUAUGUUCCUACCACCAUUUUGCCCACUUUCUGUGGAAAUUAUUCAAGCUCACAACAGAUGCAUUCAACCCCCGCAGCGAAGCGCGGGCACAUUUUCUAGUUCAGCCUAAAACACUUCUGUGGGUCCGGGGGCAUAUGGAAGAGUGGUCUAGAAGGAGUUUGGUACAAGGUUUGAUAUGUAAGGCGGUGGAUUGUCCUUGUGAAUAGAUAGUUUUUGUUUGACUUAAGUUCAUUAUAAAUUAAAAUACUUAUAUUCUCUUAAUUUAGCUUAAAAAUAAGUAACAUCAAUUGUGAAAAAAUAAACAUUUAAAAUCAAUUGAUCUGUUGUUUUGAUGCAGUUUGAAUUUUCAACAUUCUAAAGUAAGAGCACAAGUAAAUCCAAAGUGGUUGGACAUAUAAAUCCAAAGUGGUUGGACAUAUAUCAGAGUCAUUCUUCAACUACUACGGAUGGUAACGAUGAUGAAAGACAAGGCCACUAUUAAACUACCAAUCCUAAGAGCAUCCCCAGUGAGGGGUUUUAAUAUUUUAUAUGGGGCUGGAAAAGUGAUGGAUACAACCCAUUUUAUAGUUCCAAGAAAUUUUUGGGGUUGUAUAAAAGAAUCUCUCACAAUGAGGGGCUAUAUCUUUCGGGCUCUAUAUGGGCUAUAUAUAUUUAUUUAUGUAGUAAUUUGAUUAAGCAAUGAAUUUUUUUUUUUU
Non-coding RNA from Malus domestica (apple), 3148 nucleotides. NCBI's taxonomy places the organism in Eukaryota, Viridiplantae, Streptophyta, Magnoliopsida, Rosales, Rosaceae. The record is from RefSeq and is a predicted model, not a curated record.